Molecule: transfer RNA, 85 nt
Filed under: Felis catus (domestic cat)
Lineage: Eukaryota; Metazoa; Chordata; Mammalia; Carnivora; Felidae
Rfam family: tRNA
About the family: Transfer RNA (tRNA) molecules are approximately 80 nucleotides in length. Their secondary structure includes four short double-helical elements and three loops (D, anti-codon, and T loops).
Source: Rfam by way of RNAcentral
GCCUGGAUGGCUUAGUUGGUUAAGCAUCUGACUUUGGCUCAGGUCAUGAUCUCGUGGUUCGUGAGUUCGAGCCCCGCCUCGGGCU